UCGCAGUAGGAGUCGUCCACAGGAUUGGCCAGCGGGUCGGUGCAGGUGACUGUUCUCUGUCGCAUGCCGACCCCGCAGGUUGCUGUACACUGUGAACAGAAGAGAUGUGGAGGGAGAAAGCUUGCUCUGUCUUGCAAGACAUGAGGGCUCGCUCACUGACAGUGUCAAGACAUUUGGAGGAUGUGACAGCUCUUACUUUGCUACUCUGGGACUAGCAUGGGAAGAGACUUUGCUUUGCUGGCUAAGGUGUAUACUGUGGGACAGUCCUUGACCUGACAUGACCUCUGCAGCCGAGGUUUCUUCAUCCCCUGGCAGCGUUCCUCCUCGAUGGGCUUGCCUUUGCGGCCCAGACGACAGUGGACCUCCCGCCUCAUGGUGCCCUUCCCACAAGUCACCGAACACUACGCAAGGAAAGAGUUCAAGGUCAUCACUGUGAUCAUUCUGGCAGGACAAAACCUUCUACUGCUCACAAUGGGCAACUUCACUCUGGAUUCAGCCCAUUAGUCUCAAGGUUGAAGGGGACUCUGCACUUUUGUACUUGACGGCAACAAGUCGUGACGCACUUUGGGAGGAAUGCCGUGGAUGUGUGGGCCCAGAUGUGAGUGCUUUUCUGCCUCCAUUGUCGGGGCCUGGCUGGGUGGGGAUUGUUCUGUGGAGCCACUGCUGCUGUGGGGAGGGCAGCGGGACAGAAUGGAGCUGUCAGGGGAGAAGGAGUGGGACGUCAGGACUGAUGUCACAGUCUCCUCUCUGAUGGGCCCACCUGCAGACAGUACCAACAGUCCUCACUCACCACCUGAAGGUCCUGCUUGUCUAUAGGACUGGGGCAUUCCUUAUAUUCCACUGGUUUUACAAAAAUGUACCAGUGUCUGUGUUUCUUGGAAAUUGUACUUUGGAUGUGAUAAGCAGCAUCUUGGCAAGGGAAAUCCCUGAAGCAAGGAGACCAAACAAGUUGGUACCUUGACCAAGGUAAGUCCCCCUCCAUUUCUGGCUUGUACCUCCCAGUUCCUUGGCAUUGUGGGAAGGAUGCCAUAGAGUGUUUGAAUUAUUCAUUCCCUUAUUAUAUUUCUUGUCGAUGACUUAAAUUCUGAUGAAACAUUUCCAUCCUUGGCAAACCUAGGAGUAUAACAUACUGUAAUGUGUGUGCAUGUUUUGAACUGAUAAAUUGUAAUGUCACUUAUUCUCGAAUUUUCAAAAAUAUUCUAGGUUCUCAGUAAUAAGAUACUACUGCAAAGUAUUCCCACAACCAAACAGCGAAACAAAUACUCUGGCUUAAAACUUUCACUCCUUUGUUUUUCUGAAAGUCUAAGCCUUUGUCAGGAAGUGUGAUUACAUUUUUUCUCACACAUUUUCUUCACAAAUCCAGUCCAAACCAGUCGCACCACCUGUGCAGUAUGUUCCCACCAUCCAGCUCCUGUCUGUCAUCACUCUCUCGCUACAAAUCUCUUCAUUGUCUCUUUUAUGCCUUCUGUCUCUUUUAUCCAGGCCUUUUCCUUUGCAACGUUUCUUUUUCUUACCCCCCUCCAUCAAAGACUGGGGUCAUUCCAAGGGGCAAGAUCAGUUUCAUGUAGCUGUCAUCAGCUACUUGAGACUGAAAAGAUGACAUUUAGUGGCCAUAAAUUCUCGCCUGUCUCCCUUUCUGUUUUUUGUGGCUUUCCCUUUGGUAGCCGCUUAAGUGUGACUGUUGGAGUGUCGAUCUGAAGUGUUGGUUUGGCUACAUGAGUAAAACAAAUGGCCGGGCGUGUGAAUGGCCAAGUGCAGGUUGUUACCGGGGAGGGGGGAUGUGUGUCUUAUGUUUCAUGCCUGCUGUCUUAAGAAAACAGUGAGAACU
Branchiostoma belcheri (Belcher's lancelet) is the source of this 1828-nucleotide long non-coding RNA. RefSeq lists it as uncharacterized. The record is from RefSeq and is a predicted model, not a curated record. Lineage: Eukaryota; Metazoa; Chordata; Leptocardii; Amphioxiformes; Branchiostomatidae. The transcript is spliced from 4 exons.